AGAGUUUGAUCAUGGCUCAGAUUGAACGCUGGCGGCAGGCCUAACACAUGCAAGUCGAACGGUAACAGGAAGCAGCUUGCUGCUUCGCUGACGAGUGGCGGACGGGUGAGUAAUGUCUGGGAAACUGCCUGAUGGAGGGGGAUAACUACUGGAAACGGUGGCUAAUACCGCAUAACGUCGCAAGACCAAAGAGGGGGACCUUCGGGCCUCUUGCCAUCAGAUGUGCCCAGAUGGGAUUAGCUUGUUGGUGAGGUAACGGCUCACCAAGGCGACGAUCCCUAGCUGGUCUGAGAGGAUGACCAGCCACACUGGAACUGAGACACGGUCCAGACUCCUACGGGAGGCAGCAGUGGGGAAUAUUGCACAAUGGGCGCAAGCCUGAUGCAGCCAUGCCGCGUGUAUGAAGAAGGCCUUCGGGUUGUAAAGUACUUUCAGCGGGGAGGAAGGUGUUGUGGUUAAUAACCGCAGCAAUUGACGUUACCCGCAGAAGAAGCACCGGCUAACUCCGUGCCAGCAGCCGCGGUAAUACGGAGGGUGCAAGCGUUAAUCGGAAUUACUGGGCGUAAAGCGCACGCAGGCGGUCUGUCAAGUCGGAUGUGAAAUCCCCGGGCUCAACCUGGGAACUGCAUUCGAAACUGGCAGGCUUGAGUCUUGUAGAGGGGGGUAGAAUUCCAGGUGUAGCGGUGAAAUGCGUAGAGAUCUGGAGGAAUACCGGUGGCGAAGGCGGCCCCCUGGACAAAGACUGACGCUCAGGUGCGAAAGCGUGGGGAGCAAACAGGAUUAGAUACCCUGGUAGUCCACGCCGUAAACGAUGUCUACUUGGAGGUUGUGCCCUUGAGGCGUGGCUUCCGGAGCUAACGCGUUAAGUAGACCGCCUGGGGAGUACGGCCGCAAGGUUAAAACUCAAAUGAAUUGACGGGGGCCCGCACAAGCGGUGGAGCAUGUGGUUUAAUUCGAUGCAACGCGAAGAACCUUACCUGGUCUUGACAUCCACGGAAGUUUUCAGAGAUGGAAUGUGCCUUCGGGAACCGUGAGACAGGUGCUGCAUGGCUGUCGUCAGCUCGUGUUGUGAAAUGUUGGGUUAAGUCCCGCAACGAGCGCAACCCUUAUCCUUUGUUGCCAGCGGUUAGGCCGGGAACUCAAAGGAGACUGCCAGUGAUAAACUGGAGGAAGGUGGGGAUGACGUCAAGUCAUCAUGGCCCUUACGACCAGGGCUACACACGUGCUACAAUGGCGCAUACAAAGAGAAGCGACCUCGCGAGAGCAAGCGGACCUCAUAAAGUGCGUCGUAGUCCGGAUUGGAGUCUGCAACUCGACUCCAUGAAGUCGGAAUCGCUAGUAAUCGUGGAUCAGAAUGCCACGGUGAAUACGUUCCCGGGCCUUGUACACACCGCCCGUCACACCAUGGGAGUGGGUUGCAAAAGAAGUAGGUAGCUUAACCUUCGGGAGGGCGCUUACCACUUUGUGAUUCAUGACUGGGGUGAAGUCGUAACAAGGUAACCGUAGGGGAACCUGCGGUUG
This 1521-nucleotide ribosomal RNA is filed under the name Salmonella enterica subsp. enterica serovar Heidelberg. RNAcentral describes it as "bacterial SSU rRNA". It matches the Rfam family "Bacterial small subunit ribosomal RNA". The record is from RNAcentral. Lineage: Bacteria; Pseudomonadati; Pseudomonadota; Gammaproteobacteria; Enterobacterales; Enterobacteriaceae.